AUUGAACGCUGGCGGCAGGCCUAACACAUGCAAGUCGAACGAGUGGCGGACGGGUGAGUAAUGUCUGGGAAACUGCCCGAUGGAGGGGGAUAACUACUGGAAACGGUAGCUAAUACCGCAUACCAUCGGAUGUGCCCAGAUGGGAUUAGCUUGUAGGUGAGGGAACGGCUCACCUAGGCGACGAUCCCUAGCUGGUCUGAGAGGAUGACCAGCCACACUGGAACUGGGAAACGGUCCAGAAUCCUACGGGAGGCAGGAGGGGGGAAUAUUGCACAAUGGGCGGAAGCCUGGUGCAACCAUGCCGCGUGUAUGAAGGAGGCCUUCGGGUUGUAAAGGACUUUCAACGGGGAGGCGUUACCCGCAGAAAAAGCACCGGCUAACUUCGUGCCAGCAGCCGCGGUAAUAC
This 406-nucleotide ribosomal RNA is filed under the name uncultured bacterium. RNAcentral's name for it is "partial 16S ribosomal RNA". It matches the Rfam family "Bacterial small subunit ribosomal RNA", at positions 30 to 526 of the family's 1533-position model. The record is from RNAcentral.